AAAAAAACUAUUAUGAAGAAAAAACUUAUGUGUCGGGUGAUUGACUGAUUCCAGAAUAUUGGAGAUGAGUUGGAUACUCGAUCAUUUACGAGGCUGUGAACACUUUAUAGGCAAUUAAGGCGGACGUCUCAAUAGUACAAUUUUCUGUAUUUUGCUUACUUGAAUUUUUGCUAGAAGUUGUAGAA
This is a non-coding RNA of Sesamum indicum (sesame), 185 nucleotides long. The record is from RefSeq and is a predicted model, not a curated record. Lineage: Eukaryota; Viridiplantae; Streptophyta; Magnoliopsida; Lamiales; Pedaliaceae.